Molecule: small nuclear RNA, 289 nt
Filed under: Neotoma lepida (desert woodrat)
Lineage: Eukaryota; Metazoa; Chordata; Mammalia; Rodentia; Cricetidae
Description: 7SK RNA
Rfam family: 7SK RNA
About the family: 7SK was discovered as an abundant small nuclear RNA in the mid-70s but a possible function has only recently been suggested. Two independent studies have found that 7SK RNA binds the CDK9/cyclin T complex (known as elongation factor P-TEFb).
Source: Rfam by way of RNAcentral
AGACAUGACAAUGAUCUGGUUACACCUGUCACCCUGCCCAUCACCCAAGCUGAUCCUGCUGACUAANCCAGCAUCUUCUUCCUCCCUCAUUGUUCCUUAUGUAUUCCUCCUGAAGCUGAACUGCUCUCUGUCAAAAGAGAUGGACUUUCUCCAGCAGAGAGGACCAUUCAAGGUCUACAAGCAUUUGAACUCUUCUGUAAGAUCCUCCAAACAAGCUCUCACGGUCCAUAAAUCAUCCAUGUAUGUUGAAAGUCAAAGCAGAGAUUGUCCCACUAGAUCAAUUAACUAU